UGAGAUAUAGCAUAAAAAAUGCAUUUCGUUUACACUGAAAUUAUGCCCAUUAACAGGCUGUCUUAA
This 66-nucleotide transfer RNA is filed under the name Batillaria australis. Its description in RNAcentral is "tRNA-Val". Lineage: Eukaryota; Metazoa; Mollusca; Gastropoda; Batillariidae. The record is from RNAcentral.